CAGUUGGUUAGAAUACCUGCCUGUCACGCAGGGGGUCGCGGGUUCGAGCCCCGUCCGUUCCGCCA
This 65-nucleotide transfer RNA is filed under the name Yersinia pestis PY-06. Its description in RNAcentral is "partial tRNA-OTHER". It matches the Rfam family "tRNA", at positions 13 to 71 of the family's 71-position model. From Rfam's summary of the family: Transfer RNA (tRNA) molecules are approximately 80 nucleotides in length. The record is from RNAcentral. Lineage: Bacteria; Pseudomonadati; Pseudomonadota; Gammaproteobacteria; Enterobacterales; Yersiniaceae. RNAcentral also lists the same sequence under 6 other names.